CUUUUGUAAACGGGGAAUAUUCAAUAUUGGAUAAAUAGUGGUCCAAGAUGGGGUAGCAGUUCUAGGAAAGCAGAUUUAUUCUAAUUGGUCGGUAUUGCGGCAAAAUUUUCACUAGAACUCCACAAGAAAAUUAUGGUUGAGUUUAUUGAGAAUUCCUUUCCUUUUAAAAAAAACACUAAGAAAUUCCCUCACGAUUUUGCUCAAAUCAUACUAUUGUAUGAAAAACACCCAUUAUAGCUAAUACAAACCGCUUAUAUUCCAUAAUUAUUCAAAUUUAUAGCCUGAAGAUUAGGACACAUGGGUAGACAAACAGGUUCACCAGCUUUAUGACCACAGAGAAAAGAAUCAUAAGACAUAUUAUUCAUUAAAACCACUUGUAAUGGUGAUAUAAUUUUGCCCCAAACAUGAUGGCAAAAUCUUGAGUGGCUAAACAUUUUCUUAUUCCUAGUUCCCAAAUCAUGCAAACAAGUCCGCACUGAUGAAUUCUCAUCAAGAUAUGAAUAGAGAUUUCAAAUUUUAACAAAUUAACCGUAAUAGAUUCUAAAGUAAUAAAAACUAAAAGGUAAGUACCAAUCAAGCUUUGGUCGGACUUUGCGCUUCUGAAUCUCGGCUC
RNAcentral lists this unclassified non-coding RNA (613 nucleotides) under Hevea brasiliensis (rubber tree). The record is from RNAcentral. Lineage: Eukaryota; Viridiplantae; Streptophyta; Magnoliopsida; Malpighiales; Euphorbiaceae.